GUCUUUUUGAUUUAUAUAUAAAGUCUGACCUGCCCACUGAAAAUUUUAAAUGGCUGCAGUAAUUUGACUGUACAAAGGUAGCAUAAUCAUUAGUUUUUUAAUUAAAAGCUUGUAUGAAAGGUUGGACGAAGUAAAAUCUGUCUCUUUUUAAUAUAAUUAGAAUUUAAUUUUUAAGUAAAAAAGCUUAAAUUUUUAUAAAAGACGAGAAGACCCUAUAGAGUUUAAUAAUUUUAAUAAAAUAUUUAAUUAAGAUUUAUUAAUUUUAUUUAAUUAAAAUUAUUUUAUUGGGGUAAUAAAAAGAUUAAAAAAAUUCUUUUUUUUUAAUACAUUAAUUUAUGAAUAUAUGAUCCAUUUGUAGUGAUUAAAAGAUUAAAUUACCUUAGGGAUAACAGCGUAAUUUUUUUAAAGAGUUCUUAUCGAUAAAAAAGUUUGCGACCUCGAUGUUGGAUUAAAGAUUAAUUUAGGUGUAGAAGUUUAAAUUUUUGGUCUGUUCGACCAUUAAAUCUUUACAUGAUCUGAGUUCAAACCGGUGUAAGCCAGGUUGGUUUCUAUCUUUAUUAAUUUUUUAUAUUUUAGUACGAAAGGACCAAAUAUAAAAUAUAUAAAUAUUUUUAUUUUGAAUAUUAUUAAAUUAGUUAUUUUGGCAGAUUAGUGUAAUGAAUUUAGAAUUCAUUUAUGUAAAUAUUUUACAAAUAAUACUUGUUUAUAAAAGAUAUAAUUAUUUCUUUUAUUUUAAUUAUUUUAUUAAUUAUUUGUGUUUUAGUAGGUGUAGCUUUUUUAACUUUAUUAGAACGAAAGGUU
This 801-nucleotide ribosomal RNA is filed under the name Trechisibus antarcticus. RNAcentral describes it as "partial 16S ribosomal RNA". The stretch from base 1 to 579 matches the Rfam family "Bacterial large subunit ribosomal RNA", at positions 1819 to 2925 of the family's 2925-position model. The record is from RNAcentral. Lineage: Eukaryota; Metazoa; Arthropoda; Insecta; Coleoptera; Carabidae.